Molecule: ribosomal RNA, 137 nt
Filed under: Fusarium fujikuroi
Lineage: Eukaryota; Fungi; Ascomycota; Sordariomycetes; Hypocreales; Nectriaceae
Also listed under: 1 other name
Description: 5.8S ribosomal RNA
Rfam family: 5.8S ribosomal RNA
About the family: 5.8S ribosomal RNA (5.8S rRNA) is a component of the large subunit of the eukaryotic ribosome. It is transcribed by RNA polymerase I as part of the 45S precursor that also contains 18S and 28S rRNA.
Source: RNAcentral
GCGUUUUCCCAAAGAAUUUAUUGUUUCUUCCUCUCUAUAUAGGCAAGUAAUGUGAAUUGCAGAAUUCAGUGAAUCAUCGAAUCUUUAAACGCACAUUGCGCCCGUUAGUAUAUAGGGAACGUUGUUUAUUAGGGCCU